Molecule: ribosomal RNA, 174 nt
Filed under: uncultured bacterium
Lineage: Bacteria
Description: partial 16S ribosomal RNA
Rfam family: Bacterial small subunit ribosomal RNA
Source: RNAcentral
CCUACGGGAGGCAGCAGUGGGGAAUAUUGCGCAAUGGGCGAAAGCCUGACGCAGCGACGCCGCGUGAGGGACGACGGCCUUCGGGUUGUAAACCUCUUUCAGCUCUGACGAAGCGAAAGUGACGGUAGGAGCAGAAGAAGCACCGGCCAACUACGUGCCAGCAGCCGCGGUAAU